CCGGUGCGGCGCGGCGGUCGGUGCGGCCUUCCUUCGGCGGGGCCGGCGGCUGCUCGGACGGCGCCGGGGUUUCCAGCUCCGGCACCGGG
Molecule: transfer RNA, 89 nt
Filed under: Halomonas halophila
Lineage: Bacteria; Pseudomonadati; Pseudomonadota; Gammaproteobacteria; Oceanospirillales; Halomonadaceae
Description: tRNA-Arg
Source: RNAcentral